GUCUUCAAUUACUGUCCUAAUCAAGAGAAGCCUAGUUCUUCCCCUGAAAAAAAACUUUGCAGAACUGGAGUUGUGACACAAGUGGUAGCCAGCUGUGAGGGGAAAAGAUAAGUGAGAGAGUGAAACCCUGCGUUCA
This is a long non-coding RNA of Perognathus longimembris pacificus (Pacific pocket mouse), 136 nucleotides long. RefSeq lists it as uncharacterized. The transcript has 3 exons. The record is from RefSeq and is a predicted model, not a curated record. NCBI's taxonomy places the organism in Eukaryota, Metazoa, Chordata, Mammalia, Rodentia, Heteromyidae.